RNAcentral lists this transfer RNA (76 nucleotides) under Clostridia bacterium. RNAcentral describes it as "tRNA-Thr". It matches the Rfam family "tRNA". Rfam says of the family: Transfer RNA (tRNA) molecules are approximately 80 nucleotides in length. Their secondary structure includes four short double-helical elements and three loops (D, anti-codon, and T loops). Further hydrogen bonds mediate the characteristic L-shaped molecular structure. tRNAs have two regions of fundamental functional importance: the anti-codon, which is responsible for specific mRNA codon recognition, and the 3' end, to which the tRNAs corresponding amino acid is attached (by aminoacyl-tRNA synthetases). tRNAs cope with the degeneracy of the genetic code in two manners: having more than one tRNA (with a specific anti-codon) for a particular amino acid; and 'wobble' base-pairing, i.e. permitting non-standard base-pairing at the 3rd anti-codon position. The record is from RNAcentral. Lineage: Bacteria; Bacillati; Bacillota; Clostridia.
GCUGAUGUAGCACAGUUGAUAGUGCAGCGCACUCGUAAUGCGCAGGUCGUGGGUUUGAGUCCCAUCAUCAGCUCCA